GUGAUAGCUGGUUCUCUGCGAAAUGCAUUGCAGUGCAGCGUCUAUUAAGUUUAUGGUAGGUACAGCACUGAUUGACAUACCCGUCCGACUCGUUGGGCAGGGUUGACUAGGGGGGUGUGAAAGCUCUAUCUAGGUCAGUUAACCUCGGAAUGACCAUAAGUUCCUAUAGGCAGUGAGUCGCAGGGUGAUAAGGUCUUGUGACGAGAGGGAAACAGCCCAAA
Molecule: ribosomal RNA, 221 nt
Filed under: Sporobolomyces johnsonii
Lineage: Eukaryota; Fungi; Basidiomycota; Microbotryomycetes; Sporidiobolales; Sporidiobolaceae
Description: large subunit ribosomal RNA
Rfam family: Bacterial large subunit ribosomal RNA
Source: RNAcentral